AGUGAAAUACUUCUGCGAAGCGUUUGCCAAGGAUGUUUUCAUUAAUCAAGAACGAAAGUUAGGGGAUCGAAGACGAUCAGAUACCGUCGUAGUCUUAACCAUAAACGAUGCCGACCAGCGAUUAGGAGACGUUGAAUACAAAACACCGCUGUUAAUCCUUUCGGGGGUUAAUAGUUGGUGAAUGACUCCCUAGCAGCUUGUGAGAC
Molecule: ribosomal RNA, 206 nt
Filed under: Acanthamoeba lenticulata
Lineage: Eukaryota; Discosea; Longamoebia; Acanthamoebidae
Description: partial 18S ribosomal RNA
Rfam family: Eukaryotic small subunit ribosomal RNA
Source: RNAcentral